GAGUGCGCAGGCGUGGGCAGCGAGGCAGUGCGGCCGGAAGCGAAGGGGCCGUGAGGUCAACAGUCGGUAAUCGUUUAUCGGUGCGGCCUUAGAGAAAGGACCUCCAAGCCCUUAUUCAAUACAUGUUGGGUGGUGGUCACAGGUCUUUGGAUAAUAACUUGACCCUUUCAACCGAUUGCCAAUGAGAAACUUUAAAAUCUAUCUAUGACCUGGAACACCCCCACCUACCCCAUUUCAAGUUGUCCCACCUUUCUGAACUGUCACGUGUGUCCACAGAGAAGACCACCUAAACAGGUUUUGUGCCAUCCAGGACAUGUGCAAGCCAGCGACACUACAGGCAGCUCUGGGAGCCAGUUUAUAUACCAACUCCCGAUGGUACGUUCAGCCUGCUGCCCAGGAAGGAAGCCAGUGCUGGCAGCUGGAAGGCGCCUGGCGUGUGUGGGAGCACCAAGAGCACGGGGAGAUGCACUGCAGCAGCCAGCACAGACCUACAGUCUGUUAUCACAGUCUCACUCUCUGUGAUAAGGAGGUUAAUAAGGUAAUAAGGAGGUUACAUUGCUGUUUCAAUUUGCUUUCCUUGACUAAAUUAUGUUUAACAUCUCUUCAUGCUCAAAAGUCUUUUAUAUGUCUUCUUCUGUGAAUUCUUUUGUGUCAUUUGCUCAUUUAUCUACUUGUAUGGUUUUUGCCUUGAAGAAAAUGUAAAUUUUAACUUAGUUAAAUGUAUAAAGUUUUAUCUUCAUAGCCUCUGGAUUUCUUUCUUUCUUCCCCUGAGAUAGACCUUCCCUAUUACAUGAAAAUUUUAAAAAUUCUCCAAUUUUUUUUCUAGUACAUUUAUAGUUUCUUUCCAUUUUGUAUUUGUUUUGCUGCUGGGACUCUGGACACUGUUCAUUGCCCUACUCAUCUCUUCCUUAUGUAUUUGGUUUGCUAUGUUUAUCAUAUUCAUUUUUUUUUUUUGAGUCAGUCUCGCUCUGUCGCCCAGGCCAGAAUGCAGGAGCACAGUCUCUGCUCACUGUAGCCUCAACCUCCUGGGCUCAAGUAUUUCCCUUACCAACCCUUCCUGAGUAGCUGGGACUAGAGGCUCACACCUCUACACACACCCAGCUAAUUUUUGUAUUUUUAGUGGAGACAGGGUUUCACUAUGACGCCCAGCCUGGUCUCGAACUCCUGGGCUCAAGGGAUCCGCCCGCCUUGGCCUCCCAAAGUGCUGGGAUUACAGGUGUGAGACACUUUGUCUGGCUGUUUAUCAUAUUCUUAAUUCCUGAUUGUAAAUUUAUUUCUGGACUCUUAUUUUCUCCCCUUGAGUCGUCUGCAUGUUCAUGUGCCAGCCCCACUGUUUGCAUUUCUGUAGCCUUGCAAAUGGUAUCUUUAUCUUAGACUUUUUAGUGUCUGGGAGUGACAGUGUCCCUCUCAAUGCUCUGCUUUUCCAGGAAUAUCUUGGUUAUUUCUUACAUGUUUGUUUUUCCCAGACGGCUUUAGAAACAGCAUGCCAGUUCUAGUAUCUGCUUCCUCCCCGCAUCCUCCAAAAGCAUUUGUGUUUUUACUGAGAAGAUGCUACAUUUAUACAUUAAAGACAUUUGACAGGAAACACAAAAAUACAGAUACAUAAGCAGGCCCCAGGUAUUUUUCAUAGUACUUAUUUGUCAGGUCCUGUUUUACAUAUAAAAGCAUGCAGGGCAUUUACCACCUUCUCUUCCGCAAAGUGCAUCAGUGUGGUGAGCAUGACAGGAACAGAAAAGGGGAAGGAAGCUGAGAUCCUGGCAGAAUAAAAUGUGGCAUGGAAUUAAAUAGUUAAUAUGUAAAUAUAAUGAAAUUAAUAGCAUUUAUCGACCAGUUAAGCACUUUAGUCCAUUAUCUCAGUUCAUAUUCACAACUUCUAUGAGGCAGGUGCUACUAAUACUAUCCUGAUUCAUCAAUAAAAAUGAAGCUCAGAAAGAUUAAGUCACUUUCACUCAACUAAUCAGCAGUAGAGCUGGAAUUUGAUCCAGCUGUAGACUCUGCACUCUCAACCUCCAAGCUGAGCUGAGCUGCUAAGUGAAGUUAACUGCUUCUGGGAGUCUGGGUAGAGAGAAAAAAGAGAAAUAUGUUUGCUGAAUCAAUUGCUGCCGGCCAAGGGCCAGGCCUUUGCACCUGGUAUCACAACUGACUGAAGCUGCAGAAUCCGCAGGAAUUCAGAGCCUGGGGCUCCUGCUGUGUGGGACACAGAAUGGGAAGAUGUGUCCCAGGUCUUUGUCAGAGGACGAAAUGCUGACAUUUCAGGAGGGAGGAAGACCCUUGCUGCUAUCGUGGCCCUUAAUCCUGAGGUUAGGGAGCCAAGGCGGGGGUCCUGUAGGGGUCUGAGAAUAUCCAUCCCAACCAUGUCUGCCCACCCUGCUCAGGGAGCCGCCUGCAGGGAGAACACAAAGUUCCACUGGGCUCGGGGCAGUGCCGGAGCUCCCUGCCGCCGGCCUCCUGGGAAGCACCAGCUCGCAGAGGGACCAGCUCGUGCUGGGAUCAGUGCCUGCUCUGAUACCUGGAAGUCCCUGGCAGCUUGGGGGCUUCCUUCUUGCUGGGGUGUGGUCUCCUGGUCAGAAGGUCCAGUCCUGCUGGAGAAGCCAGCUGAAGCCACUCGGCUCCCCUCAGGGCCUCCCAGGCUCCUUUCCCGAGGGUCUGGGUUGAUAACUAAGUUUGGUAAUCCCUUGAUGGGUUGAGGUUCUAGAGCAGUGGUUUCAAUGGUAGGGGUGCUUCCCUAGGGAACAUUUCAAAUGGCUGGAGACACUUAUAGUUGUCAUGGCCAGCAGCAGGGAGAGGGGUUCUGCUAGCAUCUGGUGGGUAAAGAGAAGGGGUGCUGCUAAGCAUCAUAGGAUGCACAGAACAGUGCCCUCCCUUGCUCCCCCUCCCCCACAAAAGACCCAAAGAAUUAUCUAGCCUAAAUUGUCAACAGUGUCAGGGCUUGGACAUCCUGUCUUCGAGGGCUUCAGUUAGCACCGAAACCCUUGGGAGGUGGUUUAAAAUGUGGAGUCUAGAAUCCCCUAAACCCGUAGGGUGCAGUGUGGGACCCAGGACCUGUACUUUCAAGCACUCCAGAUUAUUCUAUUACAGGUAGACCAUACUCCACAUUGACAAGUAGCACAGCAGGCUGCACCCGGUGCAUGAUUCCUGAACUGUGGCCCUGUGUGGGUCUGCCUGUGGCAGAGGCAGCUGGAGAGCUGGCUAAAGCCCCAGCCUCCUUCAUCCCUGGAGGUUCUCUUGUAAUAGACAUGGCUUCCAUCCCAGAAUUCCAUGGGUUGUUUUGUUUGGCUUGAGUGAUUUUUUUUUUCUAUUAUUUUUAAGUCGACAAAAAUUGCAUACAUGUAGGUAUAUACCAUGUUUGGAAAUGUGUACACAUUGUGAAAUGGCUAAAUUGAGCUAAUAACAAAUGCAUUACCUCACUUUUCAUUUUGUGAAAUCUCCUCUCAUCGAUUUCCAAGCAUACAACACACUGUUGGGCACUUUCUCGCCAUGGGCUGCACACCAGGCCUCUUGGACUUACUCCUCUUGUCUAACUGAAAUUCUCUAUCUUUUGACCAAUAUUUCCCCAAUGAGAGAUUCGUAUUUGGAUUCGCUAACCCAGUAUGUGGCCUAAAUCCACACAGGACUCUGGUCAUCUGCCCUCAUCUUCCAGUGCCACAAGUCAAGCAAACCUGUGGUGCCUACCAGCUGAUCUCAUUCCCGGAAGCCCAAAGCUUUAUCAACAGGUCACUUCCAGCACACAGAUAAGGAGAUUAGCCACGCCUCUCACUUCACCUCUGGCUCCUCGCUUUUCCAGAAUUAUCAACUAUCCUAUUUCUGUUCAAAGCAGCCAAAAU
RNA transcript from Symphalangus syndactylus (siamang), 3824 nucleotides. RefSeq lists it as uncharacterized. The record is from RefSeq and is a predicted model, not a curated record. Lineage: Eukaryota; Metazoa; Chordata; Mammalia; Primates; Hylobatidae.